GGACGAACGCUGGCGGCGUGCUUAACACAUGCAAGUCGAACGGAAAGGCCCUGCUUUUGUGGGGUGCUCGAGUGGCGAACGGGUGAGUAACACGUGAGUAACCUGCCCUUGACUUUGGGAUAACUUCAGGAAACUGGGGCUAAUACCGGAUAGGAGCUCCUGCUGCAUGGUGGGGGUUGGAAAGUUUCGGCGGUUGGGGAUGGACUCGCGGCUUAUCAGCUUGUUGGUGGGGUAGUGGCUUACCAAGGCUUUGACGGGUAGCCGGCCUGAGAGGGUGACCGGCCACAUUGGGACUGAGAUACGGCCCAGACUCCUACGGGAGGCAGCAGUGGGGAAUAUUGCACAAUGGGCGGAAGCCUGAUGCAGCAACGCCGCGUGCGGGAUGACGGCCUUCGGGUUGUAAACCGCUUUCGCCUGUGACGAAGCGUGAGUGACGGUAAUGGGUAAAGAAACACCGGCUAACUACGU
This 468-nucleotide ribosomal RNA is filed under the name uncultured bacterium. RNAcentral's name for it is "partial 16S ribosomal RNA". It matches the Rfam family "Bacterial small subunit ribosomal RNA", at positions 27 to 506 of the family's 1533-position model. The record is from RNAcentral.